Molecule: unclassified non-coding RNA, 345 nt
Filed under: Hevea brasiliensis (rubber tree)
Lineage: Eukaryota; Viridiplantae; Streptophyta; Magnoliopsida; Malpighiales; Euphorbiaceae
Source: RNAcentral
AAUAUUUACAGUUUGCCACACAGUGGAGAUAAAUAAAGUUUUAAUGUUUCUCCCAAUCACAUGGCGUUAAAUUAUGAUACAGGCAAGUCCACCUAAGCUGGAACAGGUUCUGGGACUUUGCCACUGUCCGCUGGAGCCACACUGUCAUAGUAUUCAACCAGCACUUUCCAGCCGCCAGGGCACAUAAAUCCAUCAGGAGGGUUCUCUUUGUUUCUCGCAAGUGUUCGCAUCUUGGUGCCAGAUAUGAAAAGGAAGUCUUGAGGCCUCGUGGGAUCAAAGAAUGCCAUUUUCCCCUGAGUUUUAUCAUAUGCAGCACCCUUGAAAGGAAGGAUGUUUAGCCGCUCC